This 255-nucleotide ribosomal RNA is filed under the name uncultured bacterium. RNAcentral's name for it is "partial 16S ribosomal RNA". It matches the Rfam family "Bacterial small subunit ribosomal RNA", at positions 526 to 779 of the family's 1533-position model. The record is from RNAcentral.
CGUAGGGGCAAGCGUUGUCCGGAUUUAUUGGGCGUAAAGGGCGCGUAGGCGGCCCCUUAAGUCAGUUGUGAAAGGUCCCGGCUCAACCGGGGAGUUGCAGCUGAAACUGGGAGGCUUGAGUGCAGGAGAGGAGAGCGGAAUUCUCGGUGUAGCGGUGGAAUGCGUAGAGAUCGGGAGGAACACCAGUGGACGAAGGCGGCUCUCGUGGCCUGUUACUGACGCUGAGGCGCGAAAGCGUGGGGAGCGAACAGGAUU